This 464-nucleotide ribosomal RNA is filed under the name uncultured bacterium. RNAcentral's name for it is "partial 16S ribosomal RNA". It matches the Rfam family "Bacterial small subunit ribosomal RNA", at positions 27 to 507 of the family's 1533-position model. The record is from RNAcentral.
GGAUGAACGCUGACAGAAUGCUUAACACAUGCAAGUCUUUGGCGAAGCUGUGCUUGCACAGCCUAGCCAAGGCGGACGGGUGAGUAACGCGUAAGGAACUUGCCCUGCAGUCAGGGAUAACAGACGGAAACGACUGAUAAGACCUGGUAAAGUCAGGCGGACUCAUGUCCAGCCUGAUGAAAAGAGAUGCUGCAGGAGAGCCUUGCGUCCUAUUAGCUUGUUGGUGGGGUAACGGCCCACCAAGGCGAUGAUAGGUAGCCGGCCUGAGAGGGUGGACGGCCACAAGGGGACUGAGAUACGGCCCUUACUCCUACGGGAGGCAGCAGUGGGGAAUAUUGGACAAUGGGGGCAACCCUGAUCCAGCAAUUCUGUGUGCACGAUGAAGGUUUUCGGAGUGUAAAGUGCUUUCAGCAGGGAAGAAAAAAAUGACGGUACCUGCAGAAGAAGCGACGGCUAAAUACGUG